This 852-nucleotide ribosomal RNA is filed under the name Pneumocystis carinii f. sp. suis. RNAcentral describes it as "partial 16S ribosomal RNA". The record is from RNAcentral. Lineage: Eukaryota; Fungi; Ascomycota; Pneumocystomycetes; Pneumocystales; Pneumocystaceae.
UUAGCUGGUUUUCUGCGAAUCUGUUUUAGCAAAUUAUUUAUUUUAUUAUUAGUAGGUAUAGCACUGAAUAUUUUUUUUUCCAUAAAGGGAGUAUUAAUUUACUUAUCCAGAAAAUUUAAUCCCCAAAAGGGUAAAAAGUUAGGGAAAUAAACCGACUUUUUGCGAUAAGGGAUAAAGUCUAAAGGGAAACAGCCCCGAACAGUAAAAAAAAAAUAAGGGGCCCCCAUUUUUAUUUAGGGGAAAAUUCCAAAAGGUUUUUUUUUUGCAAACCCUAAAUGGGGGUGGGAAAACCCCCCCCCCCGGGGGUUUUGGGGGACCCUCCCCAAAAAAAAGAGGGGUAUUUGGCCCGAGCUCCCGCGGGUCCAGGGCACGGGACAAUCAACAAGGCCCGUNACGUGGCGGNAGGGGGGUAACGGAAACAAAGGACGGCGCGCACAACNAAGGGGCAAACCAGCCNCCCCGGGAGGGAUGGGGACAAAGAGAGGGACGACCCCGGGGGGCUAAGAAGAGAGGGGGGGGGACGCAGCCCACGGGCAGCGUAGGGAGGGGGGCGACGCGGAGGGCUGCGGCGCAAAAGGCGAGAACGGGGGAGAGGCGCGCCGGGGGGCACACACACAACAGGGGCGGCGGAGGAGUGCGGGCGCCGGCGGGAUGAGACACAGGGCCAAGAUCGGAUGAGGGAGGAGGGAAGGACGAGAGAGGAGGGCAGCACGAAGAUAUAACGACGCAGGUGAAGGAGCAGGGGGGACGAGGAGAGGUACGGAGGGCCAAGGGGGAGAAGAAAGCAGAGUGGAGGCGACAAGGGGAAGAGACGAGGGGGCGAGGGGGAACUGAGAGCGGGACGAGGCGGCG